AACCUUUGACCAGUAAUGUACAGUACUUACUCUAUAUUGAAUCCUGAUAUACUGUUGAUUACUCUGUUUUCUUUUCUUUUCUUUUCUUACAUAUCUAGGUCUGUGCAUCAUGUGGCUACCACCGUUUCUGGCAAAACCAGCCAAUGCUCCACAGGAACAUGCCAACCUGCAACCUCCUGUUAAGUGGGGCCAUUCAUUUUACUGGAUGUUUGGCCACACAGACACUAAGCAAUUUCUUUCGCCAUCAGCGCCACUACACCAUCCCUGUAAUCGUUCAGGCCUGGCAGAAUGAUCAAGCCAAGAAUUUUAGUGACCUACGGGCAAUGGAUGGCGGGCUAGUUCUUGCUGGUGACUGCAGUUAAACCAAUGUGAGAACUAGCAAGGUGGUGGAUGUUCAGCUUGUUCAGGUAAACCUGAUGUUAUUAGGCAAAGAAAUGAACUCUGCAAUUUGUUAAAAGGAUUGUAUCUUAAUAUAACAUCUUUCCACUAGUAC
This 493-nucleotide long non-coding RNA is filed under the name Gadus morhua (Atlantic cod). RNAcentral describes it as "lncRNA (ENSGMOG00000023184.1)". Lineage: Eukaryota; Metazoa; Chordata; Actinopteri; Gadiformes; Gadidae. The record is from RNAcentral.